AGUUCAAGAGUACGUGAAACCGUUUAGGGGUAAACCUGAGAAACCCGAAAGGUCGAAGGGAGAAAUUCAUUCGCGUUUCGACGCAGGCGUGGGACGGAGUCCGGAGCGACGGAACUCCCGUUUCUCUCUGGGAACGGGGUCAACAGUUUCGCGCCCUCCGUUUUUCGAACCGGCGGCGAACGCGUGCACUUUUCUCCUGGUAGGACGUCGCGAUCCGUCGGGCGUCGGUCUACGACUUGCGGUGGAGCCCGUCCGUUUCGUCUUUGUUGUACGUGCGGAAGGACCCGCUCGUUCCGGCCGACUCGCUCGACGGUAUACGUGUAAGGUCGGAGGCCGCUCGUUUUUUCACAAGGAGCGUUCGACUCGUCGCAAGCGCGCCACGUGCGUCGGCACGCGGACCUCGUGCCGCGUCCGACCUCUGGUGACUGUUGGCGACGAUGAUUCUCGGACAGACCUCUUUUUUUUUCGCAUUCACGUGCGAAAAAGAUGACCGAUCGGCGACGCUAUAGCUUUGGGUACUUUCAGGACCCGUCUUGAAACACGGACCAAGGAGUCUAGCAUGUACGCGAGUCAUUGGGAAUAUCGCUAAACCUAAAGGCGUAAUGAAAGUGAAGGUCUUCCUCGCGAAGACCGAGGGAAGACGGACGAUCGCGCGGAGAUUUUUAUUAAUUUCCGAUCGUCCCGCAUUCCCGGGGCGUCUCGUUCACAUCGCGUGAAGAGGCGCACCAAGAGCGUACACGCUGGGACCCGAAAGAUGGUGAACUAUGCCUGGUCAGGACGAAGUCAGGGGAAACCCUGAUGGAGGUCCGUAGCGAUU
RNAcentral lists this ribosomal RNA (817 nucleotides) under Xyleborus princeps. RNAcentral's name for it is "eukaryotic LSU rRNA". It matches the Rfam family "Eukaryotic large subunit ribosomal RNA", at positions 386 to 885 of the family's 3401-position model. Lineage: Eukaryota; Metazoa; Arthropoda; Insecta; Coleoptera; Curculionidae. The record is from RNAcentral.